RNAcentral lists this ribosomal RNA (296 nucleotides) under Salmonella enterica. RNAcentral describes it as "partial 23S ribosomal RNA". It matches the Rfam family "Bacterial large subunit ribosomal RNA", at positions 1084 to 1378 of the family's 2925-position model. Lineage: Bacteria; Pseudomonadati; Pseudomonadota; Gammaproteobacteria; Enterobacterales; Enterobacteriaceae. RNAcentral also lists the same sequence under 2 other names. The record is from RNAcentral.
CCCAGACAGCCAGGAUGUUGGCUUAGAAGCAGCCAUCAUUUAAAGAAAGCGUAAUAGCUCACUGGUCGAGUCGGCCUGCGCGGAAGAUGUAACGGGGCUAAACCAUGCACCGAAGCUGCGGCAGCGACGCUGAUGCGUUGUUGGGUAGGGGAGCGUUCUGUAAGCCUGUGAAGGUGGCCUGUGAGGGUUGCUGGAGGUAUCAGAAGUGCGAAUGCUGACAUAAGUAACGAUAAAGCGGGUGAAAAGCCCGCUCGCCGGAAGACCAAGGGUUCCUGUCCAACGUUAAUCGGGGCAGG